UCUACAGUUCCUGAUAGAUAAAACAAAUAGUUCUGGCCUUUAAAGCGAAAAAACGCAUAGGACAAAGUGAGCGUAAUGUUGAUUAAAUUCAAGUUUUGUGCGUUUGAUAUUUUAGUAGUAAUACGGAAGUUAUUAAAUUUAUUAAAAAUGCAAAUCUUGGUAAUAUGAAUUCGAAUAAAUUAUAAAAAAAAAUUAUAAAUAUAAAUUAUAAAGAAUGACAUUGUAUUAAGAUUAGCACUAAGUCAUGUUGUUUCAAUUCUGUAGUUAUAUACGAUUUUAUUACUUUUUGUAAAAAGUUGUGGGUUUACAGUAUUAAGAAAAUAAAGAAUUAAGAAUGAAUAGUUGAAAUUAUUAGCAAUUAUAAAAAAAUUUUUUACAUUUUAUAUUGUUUAGUUAAAUUCAGUAUUGUAAGAGAUGUUUUUAAAAUAAUGGGAUACAGUUACUUGUUACUGGAGAAAAAUGUAACUGAUUACAGAUACAGAUACACAUUUUCUAUGAAUAACUAAAUAUAAAUUUAUUUAUUUUUAAAAUAAAUCUAGAUAUAUAUAAUAGAUACAUAAUAGCCCAAAGAGCACAAGGUUGUAAGAAAGUUUUUACAACUCCAUGAAACGUUUGUAUGUGUUACAUACUGGAAUAUUAUAUGACUAAAAAGUUAAUGUUGAUUAUACAAUUUGUAAUUUUUGUAACAUCUGUUGUACAUUGAGUAUAUAUAACUUAUAACGUCUACACGAUUCCGUAAUUAAUCGGUAUUUAAUUUAAGAUUUUGUAACGUCUUGUACGACUCAUACUAUAUUAGUUGCGAUAUAAAUAUCACUGUUUUUAAACAUUUAUACAAUUCCGUAUAUGUUAACCCAACUUUCGUCAAUAACAUUGAUAUCCUUGGUAUGUGUACCUGCUGCCUUCUGCUUUACUUUGUAAUUGACAGAUAUGCUUAGUGGUGGUGAAUGAUCUUUUAUCAUUUUUCACAAGUGCUUAGUUUUUAACGUUGAUAAAUAAUAAGAAUACUGUCAGGUAAAUAACCAUACAUAAUUGUACUGCAAUAGAUAUACUUGCGAUAGGUAUAUGAACCAUGUGAAAUAUAUGUGAGAUAUUAGUUUUUAAGCAAAACCGAUUAAAUUGUUUGAUAAGAGGUA
Molecule: long non-coding RNA, 1133 nt
Organism: Solenopsis invicta (red fire ant)
Lineage: Eukaryota; Metazoa; Arthropoda; Insecta; Hymenoptera; Formicidae
Exons: 2
Source: RefSeq, a predicted model, not a curated record